GCAGCGACACUAUGUGUUGUUGGGUAGGGGAGCGUUCUGUAAGCCUGCGAAGGUGACCUGUGAGGGUUGCUGGAGGUAUCAGAAGUGCGAAUGCUGACAUAAGUAACGAUAAAGCGGGUGAAAAGCCCGCUCGCCGGAAGACCAAGGGUUCCUGUCCAACGUUAAUCGGGGCAGGGUGAGUCGACCCCUAAGGCGAGGCCGAAAGGCGUAGUCGAUGGGAAACAGGUUAAUAUUCCUGUACUUGGUGUUACUGCGAAGGGGGGACGGAGAAGGCUAUGUUAGCCGGGCGACGGUUGUCCCGGUUUAAGCAUGUAGGCUGGUUGUCCAGGCAAAUCCGGAUAAUCAAGGCUGAGGUGUGAUGACGAGGCACUACGGUGCUGAAGUAACAAAUGCCCUGCUUCCAGGAAAAGCCUCUAAGCAUCAGGUAACAUUAAAUCGUACCCCAAACCGACACAGGUGGUCAGGUAGAGAAUACCAAGGCGCUUGAGAGAACUCGGGUGAAGGAACUAGGCAAAAUGGUGCCGUAACUUCGGGAGAAGGCACGCUGGUGUGUAGGUGAAGUCCCUGCGGAUGGAGCUGAGACCAGUCGAAGAUACCAGCUGGCUGCAACUGUUUAUUAAAAACAC
RNAcentral lists this ribosomal RNA (626 nucleotides) under Klebsiella pneumoniae. RNAcentral describes it as "partial 23S ribosomal RNA". It matches the Rfam family "Bacterial large subunit ribosomal RNA", at positions 1205 to 1816 of the family's 2925-position model. The record is from RNAcentral. Lineage: Bacteria; Pseudomonadati; Pseudomonadota; Gammaproteobacteria; Enterobacterales; Enterobacteriaceae.